This is an RNA transcript of Lolium perenne, 2498 nucleotides long. RefSeq lists it as uncharacterized. NCBI's taxonomy places the organism in Eukaryota, Viridiplantae, Streptophyta, Magnoliopsida, Poales, Poaceae. The record is from RefSeq and is a predicted model, not a curated record.
CUCUGCUUGCUCGCCCGCUUGUGACUCCCCUUCCUCUCCCCCUCCCGGACAGAGAGCUCUCGAGAGGAGAGGCUCAAUGCGUCCAGGACACCCAGGCGGCGGCGGCGGCGCAGGAGGCGGGAGAAGCAGUGAAGACCAUACGCUGCUGCUCUGUCGGUGACCAAGGACGACAAAAGGAAGGCCAGGAUGGAUUCAGCGCCUCGCGACGACAAGGUCAGGACCCGUGUGGCCGCCUCCCCCACUGCUGGGAAAGGGAUCCCCUUUUCCUUGCCCCCCGCCGGUGCUGGCCGCCAGCACGCAUCCUGUCUCGCGGUGCGGCUUCCGUUGCCACGCUGAGGAGUAACGGGGGGACGCAGCCGCUGAAGGUGUUUUGCGUCGGCAGUGCUCUAUGUGAUUGAAAAGUAUACCGGCUUAGGAUCAAUUUAGAUGGUUAAUCUUUUGGCAGUGGAGAAACUAAGAUGCAUAUAUUCUUGGACAGACUUUUCGGUAUGUUAUUAGCUUUAAGAAAUUUAAUUACUUCAGUAAUAAGAGAUUUACUCUUAAAUGCAAUACAAGAUUUGCAUGAAAGGAUAAUUGCUUAUGGUUCCUGCUAACGUAUUGUUUGCUACCUGGCAUAGGUAUACUCUAUUUAUGUAAAGUAUAUACCUUACAAAGGUCUGAUUCAAAUAGAGGUUUCUGGUUUGAUUUUGCAUUUUGCUUUGGUUUAAAAGUUAUGUUGUUUUGCAUCAGAGAUUUCUUUCUUUGGAAGACGCCAGUUUUAGAGUUUUAGAUGAGAUAUGAUCUAUUCGUUUGAAUGGAAUGUUUCUCUCAUUCACCAUGAUGAAGGAUAUUUGUCACAACUUAAAAUCAGCUUGAUCCUAUUUUUCACAUGUACGGCAACAACAUCAUAACCAAGGUAUUUUACAUGUUCCCCCUAUGUAUAGUGGAUUUUGUGGUGUUGUUUACCACCGUCGGAGCUGCGACUGUGCAUGAAGCAAUUGAAAUUAUGCGUAUGAUCGAUGGCCUUUUAUAAGGUUUGUUCUUAAGAGUUUUUCGUGCGGUCCUUUUUUUGUUUGAGAGUAUGCAAUACUUCUGCAUAGUUUGAAUAAGGAAUUUGAUAUAUGACCCUCCUUGCUCCCACGAGGAAUGAGUAAUUUUGAUAUACUUAUUCAUUUUAGUGUCUUCCAAUAUGAACUAAGGCUUUCUGUUUUUCUAUUUGAGUUAUAGGCUUGCCUGAUGUAAGAAAACAACAAUGUGUCGGGAGAGAGCAUUUCUUGAUCGAACCAAGCGAUGAUUUUUCCUAUUUUUCUACUUGGAAUAUUUACUUGAGUAAUUACUGAGGAGCACAACUCGGAUCAUGUGUGAGAAUGAGGAGGAUAUCGGUCAUGUGCAACUUUGGAUGGUUCCCAAGUUUGGUGCUAAUUGUAAACCUGUAUGAGGAUGGAUCCGUGGUGUUCAUGGUGACGUGUCCAGGAAGGUGGCGCCAUGGAUUCUCGCCUGCAGCUUCCUAGCUACUCUGCUCAUCUCCCAUGUCUUUGGGUUUCAUGAAUGCACGCACAUCGAUGAGCACACGGCCCUGGUGAGUGAGCAAAUGUUAUCCGUGGCCGCCCCCUGCCCAUGGCUGCAAUUGGGUGGCCAUUGUGAAAAUGAGCUAUCUUUGAAUGAAGUAAUGGUUGCGGUGGAACCUUAUGGGUAAAUGCAGGAGGUAGGAUCCAGAAUGAUGACCUCAACACUGUCACCUACCUCAUCCGCCUAUGCUUCAGUUUUCAGGAAAUUUUUGAGAGGAUCUUCCGCUUGUGAGUGAAGGCAACUACGAACAAAGAAUUGAUCUAGCUUGAGAAAGGAAAGAAAGAUCCUCUUUCAAUAUAGGGAUGCAUUCAAGGAAUAGUGUAGUUUGUAUAUUGUGUACUUCUCUAGGAUAUGCAGUAUUGCCCAUUCUUCAAAAGCUUUUUCGUGUAUGUCAAGCCUUAUCUCUAGGAUGCUGCUACUGGUGUUGGUUUCAGAAUCUUGGAUGGGCUGACCAAUCUUGCUGCUGCUGCAUGUACUGGAUGCUGUUGCCACACAUGCUGCUGUUGCUGCCUUGAUGCUCUUAAUGUUUUCCCCCAAAUGAUAAACCACUAUUCUAUUGAAGGAAGAAACUCCAUUUGGUGCCAAGGAUUAAAUCAUACAUAGAUUUAGUUGGUGGCAAUAAACUAACAGCAGGAGCAGCUUAACAUGUAACAGAAAGUGGUGGUCUAACUCAUCUCACUAGAAUAGCCAUUUACUUCAAAAUUGUAAAUCAAUCUUGUACGGUUUGAGGUCAGGCUGUGUUGUAUCAUAGUCCAUAGGUUUGCCUUUGACUUUUAACAUCCACCUGCUAAUUGCAUUUUGCGGAAUGGAAAUAUAAAUUUGGGGUUUCAACCUUGGCUGAAUACAUAACCAUUGUAAUUAAAUUCUAUUUUGCAUGUGACUGUAAUGUACAGCUGCCAUUGUAGUGAAUUUGGGCGCACAUGACCGGUGAGGAGGCGCCCCAUGAGGCG